UACGAAGGGGGCUAGCGUUGCUCGGAAUCACUGGGCGUAAAGGGUGCGUAGGCGGUCAGGUAAGUCUGAUGUGAAAGCUCUGGGCUCAACCCAGAAAUGGCAUUGGAUACUAUCUGGCUUGAGGAUUGGAGAGGUAGCUGGAAUUCUUGGUGUAGCAGUGAAAUGCGUGGAUAUCAAGAGGAACACUCGUGGCGAAAGCGAGCUACUGGACAACUCCUGACGCUGAGGCUCGAAGGCCAGGGUAGCGAAAGGG
RNAcentral lists this ribosomal RNA (253 nucleotides) under uncultured bacterium. RNAcentral's name for it is "partial 16S ribosomal RNA". It matches the Rfam family "Bacterial small subunit ribosomal RNA", at positions 524 to 776 of the family's 1533-position model. The record is from RNAcentral.